Molecule: ribosomal RNA, 465 nt
Filed under: uncultured Gammaproteobacteria bacterium
Lineage: Bacteria; Pseudomonadati; Pseudomonadota; Gammaproteobacteria
Description: partial 16S ribosomal RNA
Source: RNAcentral
GACUACAAGGGUAUCUAAUCCUGUUUGCUCCCCACGCUUUCGUACCUGAGCGUCAAUGCUGGUCCAGGCAGCCGCUUUCGCCACUGAUGUUCCUUCCGAUAUCUACGCAUUUCACUGCUACACCGGAAAUUCCGCUGCCCUCUACCGCAUUCUAGCCAGGCAGUCUCAAAUGCAAUUCCCAGGUUGAGCCCGGGGAUUUCACAUCUGACUUACCAAACCGCCUACGUACGCUUUACGCCCAGUAAUUCCGAUUAACGCUCGCACCCUCUGUAUUACCGCGGCUGCUGGCACAGAGUUAGCCGGUGCUUUUUCUUUGGGUUAAGUCAAUUCCCAGACGUGUUAGGUCUGAGCCUUUCCUCCCCACUAAAAGUGCUUUACAACCCGCAGGCCUUCUUCACACACGCGGCGUCGCUGGAUCAGGGUUUCCCCCAUUGUCCAAUAUUCCCCACUGCAGCCCCCCGUAGG